This 502-nucleotide ribosomal RNA is filed under the name uncultured bacterium. RNAcentral's name for it is "bacterial SSU rRNA". It matches the Rfam family "Bacterial small subunit ribosomal RNA", at positions 505 to 1007 of the family's 1533-position model. The record is from RNAcentral.
GUGCCAGCCGCCGCGGUAAUACGGAGGGUGCAAGCGUUAAUCGGAAUUACUGGGCGUAAAGCGCACGCAGGCGGUCUGACAAGUCGGAUGUGAAAUCCCCGGGCUCAACCCGGGAACUGCAUUCGAAACUGUCAGGCUGGAGUCUUGUAGAGGGGGGUAGAAUUCCAGGUGUAGCGGUGAAAUGCGUAGAGAUCUGGAGGAAUACCGGUGGCGAAGGCGGCCCCCUGGACAAAGACUGACGCUCAGGUGCGAAAGCGUGGGGAGCAAACAGGAUUAGAUACCCUGGUAGUCCACGCCGUAAACGAUGUCUAUUUGGAGGUUGUGCCCUUGAGGCGUGGCUUCCGGAGCUAACGCGUUAAAUAGACCGCCUGGGGAGUACGGCCGCAAGGUUAAACUCAAAUGAAUUGACGGGGGCCCGCACAAGCGGUGGAGCAUGUGGUUAAUUCGAUGCAACGCGAAGAACCUUACCUGGUCUUGACAUCCACAGAAGUUUUCAGUAGAU